Molecule: ribosomal RNA, 303 nt
Filed under: uncultured Gammaproteobacteria bacterium
Lineage: Bacteria; Pseudomonadati; Pseudomonadota; Gammaproteobacteria
Description: bacterial SSU rRNA
Rfam family: Bacterial small subunit ribosomal RNA
Source: RNAcentral
CGCAAGCCUGAUGCAGCCAUGCCGCGUGUGUGAAGAAGGCUCUAGGGUUGUAAAGCACUUUCAGUAGGGAGGAAAAGCUUAAAACUAAUAAUUUUAAGCCUUGACGUUACCUACAGAAGAAGCACCGGCAAACUCCGUGCUAGCAGCCGCGGUAAUACGGAGGGUGCAAGCGUUAAUCGGAAUUACUGGGCGUAAAGCGCGCGUAGGUGGUUUUAUGAGCUAGCUGUGAAAGCCCCGGGCUCAACCUGGGAACUGCAGUUAGAACUGUUUGACUAGAGUAUGAUAGAGGGUGGCGGAAUUUCC